AUAUUGAAAGUUAGUUGGAAGUUGAUAGUAGGAGUGGGAGCAUUGAAGCGAUUUGUGGCGACGGUAUUAUUAUUACUAGUCUUUAUAUCAGGAUGUGGUAAUGAUAAAUAUGUGAAAGAAAUAGAUGAAGCAGUUAAAAUUCAAAAUCAAAAACAAGAACAACUUGCCAAAAAAGGCAACGGUGAUCGUGUUGAUCAUUUUGAACGCAAAGAUGCUAAUAUUUAUGUCUAUGAUAAGGAUAAAAUUAUCAUUUUAGCUUAUAAACCUUUGAGUAAUGAUGAUGAAGUGCAUUAUUAUGCAUAUGAUUUUAGUGAUAAACGUGUAUCAUAUAAGCAAGAUUUUGAUUCGAGACGAUAUUAUCAACAACAUGAUGCGGAUUAUCAUGAAGAAAAUAUGACGAACUAGAUAUGAAUAGGAGUUAUUAUGACUAAAAAAUUACUAACAUUAUUUAUAGUGAGCAUGUUAAUUUUAACAGCUUGCGGUAAAAAAGAAUCAGCAACGACAUCUUCGAAAAACGGCAAACCAUUAGUUGUCGUAUAUGGCGACUAUAAAUGUCCUUAUUGUAAAGAAUUAGAUGAAAAAGUCAUGCCAAAGUUGCGUAAAAAUUAUAUAGAUAAUCACAAAGUGGAAUACCAAUUUGUCAAUUUAGCUUUCUUAGGUAAAGACUCAAUUGUUGGUUCGCGUGCGAGUCAUGCAGUAUUGAUGUAUGCACCUAAAUCAUUUUUAGAUUUUCAAAAGCAAUUAUUUGCUGCCCAGCAAGAUGAAAAUAAAGAAUGGUUAACAAAAGAACUAUUAGAUAAACAUAUUAAACAACUGCAUUUAGAUAAAGAGACGGAAAAUAAAAUUAUAAAAGAUUACAAGACAAAAGAUAGCAAGUCUUGGAAAGCUGCAGAGAAAGAUAAAAAAAUAGCGAAAGAUAAUCAUAUAAAAACGACACCAACUGCAUUUAUUAAUGGCGAGAAAGUUGAAGAUCCAUAUGAUUAUGAAAGUUAUGAGAAGUUAUUAAAAGAUAAAAUCAAAUAG
RNAcentral lists this unclassified non-coding RNA (1023 nucleotides) under Staphylococcus aureus. Lineage: Bacteria; Bacillati; Bacillota; Bacilli; Caryophanales; Staphylococcaceae. The record is from RNAcentral.